UCAAAAUCGUUCCUUCUAUUUAUUGAACGAAAUAAUACAAGAAUUAAUCAUAAGAAGUCUUUUACGUUCGACAUAAAUCAAUCCUCGCACCUUUCGCUGGCUACCUGCACGUACGUAUAGCGGGCACGUUAACCGAUAUUACCAGUGAUGGUAAGCUCGCGUGCAGAUAAGACCGCGACAAUUAGCAUACGUGAGGUCAGUCGAUGGUUUCAAUGAGAAAGAGGAGCGAUAGAACACCUGCAGUUGCAGUAUCUUCUAUUCGUUCUUAUAACCUGCAACGAACGUUAGGACGUGCCCAAAUACUAAAAUUGCGAAUACUCUUACACAAUAUUUCUUUAUCUCGACGACUAACAAUUAAACGGGAUAUUUUGAGAAAAGAAAUCUCGAGCUGUUGAAGAUUAAUGAACUCGUGUUUUUAAAGGAGGGCUUUGUCAAGGACGACACGAAAGUGCAUACGCGGGCUCUAAAUCGAGAACCAAAAGAGAUUAGGGUGUGUCUUAAGGCGAGGCGACUGGUUUUCAUUACGUUUAAGAUUUCUGUGUUUGACGCACGACAGCUACGAAUUCGGAUUCAAUUUAUCGAAAUCUAAUUAAAAUGAGCAACCAGCGAUCCAGUUGAUUCGAACUAGCUUCGGUUCAUCGACAUCGAGGAACAGUUAGAUUUCAGUGAAAGAAAAAACAAGACUCGAGGGGGAAGAUAAUUGCCAGUAAUAACCCUAUGCACGAGCUAUGAGAACGAUUGUGAACGGGUUAAACGUGUAACGCGAAGAAAUGUGUACAUUCUUAUCUCGUGGAUACUUGUAUCUGCUACUGCAGAAAAACAAUGAGACGAUGAAGCAGUUGACAGUAGCGAACCGCGAAAGGAUGGCUAAUGACGAUGAUGAUCCUGUUAUAUUAUUUCUAAGAACGUAUUAACGUGCUCUCCCCACGUACUCUUGUCUUGUCUUGCGUGUACUCCGUGAAAUGACAGACGUGCAUUUUAUGAGUUCACUCGAACUUCUAAGGGCUUUUAAUUUCCCUGUCUAACAACAUUAUAAACAUUGUUUGAAAUUGUAAAAUAAUAUUAUAACAGCCUAAUUUGGUAUAAAGUGGUAAAUAUAAUUAUUGUAAAUUAAACGUAUAGACACAUAAAAUUAAACUGACGAAUAAAAUUGUAUUGUUCCUUUUAUAGCGAACCACUCAAGUUUAAUUAACAUAACGCGGCAAGUUAAUCUCGUUAAAGAAGCUGAUAUAUGAACACGAAUUAAAUCAUUCUCGAGUAGAGAAUCAGCGGAGGCGUGCGCCAGCGUUGCGUUUAGAAAUGCAAAUUGACCGUUCGAUCAAUUUGUAACAUUAAACGAUUCAUCCUGUGCGAUUGCUUUUUAUAUCCCAUUGUGAUCAAGUGCGAAAGCAUUCUCUCGUUAAAUUGCAUCAUUCAUGAAAAUGUUAUACCGUAAUUCAAUUGAUCAUUCAAUAAUGAACAAAUAAUUUAUAAUAUCACAAAUCUGCAGAUGAACUCGUAAGAUGCAUGUAACGGAAAUUCACUUUUUAACCUCAUUAUAAAUAAACUUAAAAGGACAGUCAAUUUCCGACGUUUAUUAAUGGUUUCUAAUGUAACGAUUGUCACCGUUACGGGUCGGAUGGCUUCUAUGGAAACCGUUAAAUCUACAUAUCGGUGCCACGUCCGAGCGAACGUUCAGCAAGAACGAUGAACGAAUAAGGGGUGUACGCUGCGACCUGUCAAUCUUAUUACAGUAACACUAUAUCCGACGGUCGCAUGCAAAUCGGGAACGGACACCUUUUAAUUUGAAUACGGUUUAUUAUCCGGAAGGUCAUUAGCUUCUACAAAUAUUAAAUAAGA
Long non-coding RNA from Ceratina calcarata, 1839 nucleotides. RefSeq lists it as uncharacterized. The record is from RefSeq and is a predicted model, not a curated record. The transcript is spliced from 3 exons. Lineage: Eukaryota; Metazoa; Arthropoda; Insecta; Hymenoptera; Apidae.